This is a small nuclear RNA of Eubalaena glacialis (North Atlantic right whale), 198 nucleotides long. RefSeq annotates it as U2 spliceosomal RNA. Lineage: Eukaryota; Metazoa; Chordata; Mammalia; Artiodactyla; Balaenidae. The record is from RefSeq and is a predicted model, not a curated record. The transcript has a single exon.
AUAGCUUCUUGGCCUUUUGGCUAAGAUUAAGUGUAGCACAAAGACUCAUUGCUAUAGGAGAAGCAUCUCAAUUAUUUUCUAGUAGUGGCGGUAAUUUUAUGGAAUUCUAUUUCUAUUCUCUCUCUCGCUCUCUCUUUCCCCCUCUCUCUCAUUUUCCUUGGCCUUCCCUGUAUGAGUUUUGAGUUGGGUGACCUUCCU